RNAcentral lists this microRNA precursor (130 nucleotides) under Paramuricea clavata. Lineage: Eukaryota; Metazoa; Cnidaria; Anthozoa; Malacalcyonacea; Plexauridae. The record is from RNAcentral.
AAACAAACGAAAAUAUUCAUAUAUCCACAGGCUGCAACACGCAAUGUUGACACAUUAUUUUGAAGUCGACUAAGACUUCAAAAUAAUGUGUCAACAUUGCGUGUUGCAGCCUGUGGAUAUGAAUAUUUUC